CAUAUCCAUUAAGCGGAGGAAAAGAAACUAACAAGGAUUCCCCUAGUAACUGCGAGUGAAGCGGGAAAAGCUCAAAUUUAAAAUCUGGCAGCCUUUGGUUGUCCGAGUUGUAAUCUAGAGAAGUGUUAUCCGCGCUGGACCGUGUACAAGUCUCCUGGAAUGGAGCGUCAUAGAGGGUGAGAAUCCCGUCUUUGACACGGACUGCCAGGGCUUUGUGAUGCGCUCUCAAAGAGUCGAGUUGUUUGGGAAUGCAGCUCAAAAUGGGUGGUAAAUUCCAUCUAAAGCUAAAUAUUGGCGAGAGACCGAUAGCGAACAAGUACCGUGAGGGAAAGAUGAAAAGAACUUUGGAAAGAGAGUUAAACAGUACGUGAAAUUGCUGAAAGGGAAACGCUUGAAGUCAGUCGCGUUGUCCAGGGAUCAACCUUGCUUUUGCUUGGUGCACUUUCUGGUUGACGGGUCAGCAUCAAUUUUGACUAUUGGAAAAAGAUUAGGGGAAUGUGACAUCUUCGGAUGUGUUAUAGCCCUUGGUUGCAUACAAUGGUUGGGAUUGAGGAACUCAGCACGCCGCAAGGCCGGGUUUUUAACCACGUACGUGCUUAGGAUGCUGGCAUAAUGGCUUUAAUCGACCCGUCUUGAAACACGGACCAAGGAGUCUAACAUGCCUGCGAGUGUUUGGGUGGAAAACCCGAGCGCGUAAUGAAAGUGAAAGUUGAGAUCCCUGUCGUGGGGAGCAUCGACGCCCGGACCAGACCUUUUGUGACGGUUCCGCGGUAGAGCAUGUAUGUUGGGACCCGAAAGAUGGUGAACUAUGCCUGAAUAGGGUGAAGCCAGGGGAAACCCUGGUGGAGGCUCGUAGCGAUUCUGACGUGCAAAUCGAUCGUCAAAUUUGGGUAUAGGGGCGAAAGACUAA
Molecule: ribosomal RNA, 910 nt
Filed under: Cortinarius sp. PDD 106260
Lineage: Eukaryota; Fungi; Basidiomycota; Agaricomycetes; Agaricales; Cortinariaceae
Description: partial large subunit ribosomal RNA
Rfam family: Eukaryotic large subunit ribosomal RNA
Source: RNAcentral